AUGAACGCUGGCGGCAUGCCUAAUACAUGCAAGUCGAGCGAACGGACGAGAAGCUUGCUUCUCUGAUGUUAGCGGCGGACGGGUGAGUAACACGUGGAUAACCUACCUAUAAGACUGGGAUAACUUCGGGAAACCGGAGCUAAUACCGGAUAAUAUUUUGAACCGCAUGGUUCAAAAGUGAAAGACGGUCUUGCUGUCACUUAUAGAUGGAUCGGCGCUGCAUUAGCUAGUUGGUAAGGUAACGGCUUACCAAGGCAACGAUGCAUAGCCGACCUGAGAGGGUGAUCGGCCACACUGGAACUGAGACACGGUCCAGACUCCUACGGGAGGCAGCAGUAGGGAAUCUUCGGCAAAGGGCGAAAGCCUGACGGAGCAACGCCGCGUGAGUGAUGAAGGUCUUCGGAUCGUAAAACUCUGUUAUUAGGGAAGAACAUAUGUGUAAGUAACUGUGCACAUCUUGACGGUACCUAAUCAGAAAGCCACGGCUAACUACGUG
This 496-nucleotide ribosomal RNA is filed under the name uncultured bacterium. RNAcentral describes it as "partial 16S ribosomal RNA". It matches the Rfam family "Bacterial small subunit ribosomal RNA", at positions 29 to 507 of the family's 1533-position model. The record is from RNAcentral.